UACGGAGGGGGCUAGCGUUGUUCGGAAUUACUGGGCGUAAAGCGCACGUAGGCGGCUUUGUAAGUUAGAGGUGAAAGCCCGGAGCUCAACUUCGGAAUUGCCUUUAAGACUGUAUCGCUUGAAUCAUGGAGAGGUCAGUGGAAUUCCGAGUGUAGAGGUGAAAUUCGUAGAUAUUCGGAAGAACACCAGUGGCGAAGGCGACUGACUGGACAUGUAUUGACGCUGAGGUGCGAAAGCGUGGGGAGCAAACAGG
This 253-nucleotide ribosomal RNA is filed under the name uncultured bacterium. RNAcentral's name for it is "partial 16S ribosomal RNA". It matches the Rfam family "Bacterial small subunit ribosomal RNA", at positions 524 to 776 of the family's 1533-position model. The record is from RNAcentral.